This 915-nucleotide ribosomal RNA is filed under the name uncultured archaeon. Its description in RNAcentral is "partial 16S ribosomal RNA". It matches the Rfam family "Archaeal small subunit ribosomal RNA", at positions 1 to 922 of the family's 1478-position model. The record is from RNAcentral.
UUCCGGUUGAUCCUGCCGGAGGCCAUUGCUAUCGGUGUCCGAUUUAGCCAUGCGAGUUGUACGUGUAACGUAGCAAACUGCUCAGUAACACGUGGCCAAUCUGCCCUAUGGACUGGGAUAACCUCGGGAAACUGAGGCUAAUCCCGGAUAGCACAUCCAGCCUGGAACUGGCGGAUGUGUGAAACGCUCCGGCGCCAUAGGAUGAGGCUGCGGCCGAUUAGGUAGACGGUGGGGUAACGGCCCACCGUGCCGAUAAUCGGUACGGGUCAUGAGAGUGAGAGCCCGGAGACGGACUCUGAGACACGAGUCCGGGCCCUACGGGGCGCAGCAGGCGCGAAACCUUUACACUGCACGAAAGUGCGAUAGGGGGACCCCGAGUGCGAGGGCAUACAGUCCUCGCUUUUGUACACCGUAAGGAGGUGUACGAAUAAGGGCUGGGCAAGACCGGUGCCAGCCGCCGCGGUAAUACCGGCAGCUCGAGUGAUGGCCGCUGUUAUUGGGCCUAAAGCGUCCGUAGCCGGCCGCAUGAGUCCGUCGGGAAAUCCACCCGCCUAACGGGUGGGCGUCCGGCGGAAACUGUGCGGCUUGGGACCGGAAGACCCGAGGGGUACGUCCGGGGUAGGAGUGAAAUCCCGUAAUCCUGGACGGACCGCCGGUGGCGAAAGCGCCUCGGGAAGACGGAUCCGACGGUGAGGGACGAAAGCUAGGGUCUCGAACCGGAUUAGAUACCCGGGUAGUCCUAGCUGUAAACGAUGCUCGCUAGGUGUGGCGCAGGCUACGAGCCUGCGCUGUGCCGUAGGGAAGCCGUGAAGCGAGCCGCCUGGGAAGUACGUCCGCAAGGAUGAAACUUAAAGGAAUUGGCGGGGGAGCACUACAACCGGAGGAGCCUGCGGUUUAAUUGGACUCAACGCCGGU